CACACCAUGGGAGCUGACUCAACCAGAAGACGGUCAGGCUAACCUCAUCGCAAGAUGGGGGUGCCUCCGGCGAAGGUGGGGUUGGUGACUGGGGUG
This 96-nucleotide ribosomal RNA is filed under the name uncultured bacterium. Its description in RNAcentral is "partial 16S ribosomal RNA". The record is from RNAcentral.